Aegilops tauschii subsp. strangulata is the source of this 1831-nucleotide long non-coding RNA. RefSeq lists it as uncharacterized. NCBI's taxonomy places the organism in Eukaryota, Viridiplantae, Streptophyta, Magnoliopsida, Poales, Poaceae. The record is from RefSeq and is a predicted model, not a curated record.
UUCCAUCGUCACCUAAAUACAUACAACAGUGCACGCGUUUGUCACCGAGAGAGACUUGUGCGUGCCAGGAUCGGCUUUCCAUUUUUUUUCUUUUUCUGAGAGAGAUCAAUUUUCCACAUUAACGAUGCUGCAUCUGUCGGCCGUUUUGUUCUCCGGCACCAGGAUGCGGAGGUCAACUUCUUCCUCUUGUUUUUCCGAAUGGGGAAUUUCUAGCCUACGUGUAUUGCAUUUAGAAGUUUGGCCGGACAAUGCGUCAUGGGUCAUGUACGUAUGUCAAGACUGAAAUUGUGGUUCCACCAAACAAUUGGCAUCCAGGGAAUUGCAUUGCAUCGCAUCGACACAAUCCAGGCAAAAGUGAGCUGGAUGGUGCGUUUGCGGUGUGGCGGGUGGCAGACGGGACCUGGACCAGACAUCGUUUACCAUGCUGUCCUCCUCUCACUUUACCAACAAUUUCUUCGCUUUCCCACGGCAGCGUACCUGUGAAACUGAAACUGGUGCAGCGUCACGUUUGGUGUAAUCUUGUUGGCUUGUGCUCGUUCCGUGGAUGGACGGAUGCCAAUUCUAGUUUUAGUGGAGUACAACUUGGCAUUGGGAUCGUGAUAGGAUGGCCCCUAAUAGAUGAUUUCUCAACAUCCAGGACAUAAUAAUUUCCAAAAAAUCAACGGUGUUGAUCCCACACUAAUCUCGAGGAACCCGUGAUGUGGGCAAUGAAUACCUAUGACUUUGGCAAGCAUUAAAUCUACACGCGAGGCACGAGGGUGUCGACGAUCCCCUUCUUCUUCCCCUCCAACCUUCGUCUCAGAUCUCGGUGAUGGAAGGGCCUUUGGCGUGGGGGGAGAUCAUGGCGGCGGCAAUCGCGGGUAGCGACGAGACGAAGAUGGCGAGGCUUCGCGAGAUCUGUGGGCAGUACAGGGAUGCGGAGGAGAUGCAUCAGGAAUCACGUCGGGUGUUUGAAGAGGCCUCAGAGGAGGAACAAAGUUGGAUCUCAGGGAAGCCCCCGCUCGAGAUUCUCUAUUGGGCAAUGAUGGAGGCGGAAUCCAACGAUCCGGUGCAGCGCGCGCGGUGGUACCGCUACGCGUCGUAUGAUUGGGUUUCGUCCAAUCUGAUCUGGGAUGGUGUGCGGGUGGUGACCACGGCGACAAGGUCACCGCCACACUGUCCGGUGAUGCCUGUCAUGACCGACGACGAUGUGCGGGUGGUGCCGAGGCAAAAUGUGGCGCGGGUGAUUUCACAGCUGCCUCGUCGCUCCCCUCGGUUCCCCCGGCGUUCUGCGCGGAUCCAGGCGCUUGCACAGCGCGCCGCCGACGAGUAGGCGUCUUCCUGGCAUGCAGUCAAUUAUGGCUGCUGCCGGGGAGGAGUCGACGACUCCUACAAUCGUUUUGCUGCUUCAUUUUCAAAUAAAAGGAGGGAAAUCAAAGGGUGUGUCCGCUAGGAGCAAAAGUCAUGGACUAGGUGGCAUGUGAAGCCUACCAUGCAGCGUGGGGGUGGCGUUGUCCGGGGGUUCUUCUGAGGAUCACUGGCUGAAUUUCCUCGACUGGCUAUGUCUCUCGCGUGGUGCACCUCUCCUAUGUUGGCCUUACUUCUGGAUGCAUUGAUUCUCCUUUGAUGAUCCACCUAUCAGCCGACUGAGUUUUUAGUAUCGUUCUUCGGUUAAACUUGUGUGCGCCUUUGGUGUAUAAUAAUAAAUUGGAGUUUGGUGAUUUGUUGCAUGUUUAGUCGCUUUGCUGUUCAGCAGCAGGGGCUUGUGAUCGAUCGAACCAAACGACUAAUGGUAAAACAUGUGAAAGAACAUGCUAUACUACUUUGUGUGUUGGGUGUGAAGGCCCCUGUA